This 266-nucleotide unclassified non-coding RNA is filed under the name fungal sp. Its description in RNAcentral is "partial internal transcribed spacer region". The stretch from base 1 to 46 matches the Rfam family "Eukaryotic small subunit ribosomal RNA", at positions 1786 to 1831 of the family's 1831-position model. Lineage: Eukaryota; Fungi. The record is from RNAcentral.
AAGUCGUAACAAGGUCUCCGUUGGUAAACCAGCGGAGGGAUCAUUAUAGAGUUGCAAAACUCCUAUCACCAUUGCGAACUUACCUUACAACCGUUGCUUCGGCAGGCGGCCCUAGGCUUCUGUUUUCACAGAUCCUUGGGGCCCUAUAGCCUGAUUGUCAGGUGCCCGCCGGAGGCCCCAAACUCUUAUGUCUUUAGUGGUUUUCUCCUCUGAGUGACACAUAAACAAAUAAAUAAAAACUUUCAACAACGGAUCUCUUGGUUCUG